AGUUAAUUAGCUUAAUAAGCAAUAGUUUUGAAAACUUUAGAAAGAAAUUAUAUUUCUAUUAACUU
This 65-nucleotide transfer RNA is filed under the name Sirex nitobei. RNAcentral describes it as "tRNA-Ser". It matches the Rfam family "tRNA". Rfam says of the family: Transfer RNA (tRNA) molecules are approximately 80 nucleotides in length. Their secondary structure includes four short double-helical elements and three loops (D, anti-codon, and T loops). Further hydrogen bonds mediate the characteristic L-shaped molecular structure. tRNAs have two regions of fundamental functional importance: the anti-codon, which is responsible for specific mRNA codon recognition, and the 3' end, to which the tRNAs corresponding amino acid is attached (by aminoacyl-tRNA synthetases). tRNAs cope with the degeneracy of the genetic code in two manners: having more than one tRNA (with a specific anti-codon) for a particular amino acid; and 'wobble' base-pairing, i.e. permitting non-standard base-pairing at the 3rd anti-codon position. The record is from RNAcentral. Lineage: Eukaryota; Metazoa; Arthropoda; Insecta; Hymenoptera; Siricidae.